AUUUUCUGGGCUGGUCUCCAACAUCCCCUUCUCGAUUUAACCUACGUCCAUUUCUUAAUGUUUCGAUUAUCCCCACCAAAAGCCCUUACCGAACUUGAUCCUCGUUCCAGCAAGAUCUCUAUUUCAACGUGACUUUGUAUGAUGGAGAAGGAUCCAAAAGCGGGCAACGAACAUCCAGAGGUCGAUUUGUAGUGUGCUUUGACGACGGGUUGGAAGAUUUCGGGUUUUAUUAAGGUAUUUUUUUUCCCUUCAUAAUCCUACCAGCAAAAUCUCUGGUGGGGAGAAAUUAUUAGUAUGUGUACCACUGUGGAAAGCUUGAAAAAAGAGAACUAUUUUGAUUAUUUGGUUGUUUCUCGGAUACAGAAAUAUUUUUCCGCUUUAUGACAUUUCAUAGUUGGCUUUUGACUUGCUGGCUGAUAAGAGAAGAAGUGGGUAUCCUGACAAGUGCGGGUGGAUGGGUUUUUGGUUGAAUGUUAUGUAGCAUGAAUAUAUGCACUAUAUAAUGCAGUGGUAUUAGCCUAAGCUUUCUUC
Molecule: long non-coding RNA, 531 nt
Organism: Juglans regia (Persian walnut)
Lineage: Eukaryota; Viridiplantae; Streptophyta; Magnoliopsida; Fagales; Juglandaceae
Exons: 2
Source: RefSeq, a predicted model, not a curated record